ACCCCCCCUGCCCCCGUCCUUUCUGUCCUCAUCUCUGAGCUGCUGUUUCAGGGAGUCAACUCUGUUCAUGACACGAGAAAAAAAAUCAGCAGGAAACGGAAAGACUGCUGUUUCUGGAGCAUGUGAACUCUUCGGACAGCUGUGUGACCACCCUGUCACUGCACGGAGACGGUCCAUCUCACUCCUGGGGGCGGGAGAGGACACGGCAGACGAGCGCUGGGACCCUGUGAGCUGUGCGUGGGCCUGUGCUGACCUCCCGCCCGCCUGGGGGUGAGGGCCCCUCCUGGGAAACGAGGCAGACUUCUUCCUGCUCCCCUGUGGGUCCUUCCAGGGACUGUCCAGGAGUGACCCCCCCCCCCGCUAGGGAGGACAUUCCCUAGAACGGCCACACCUCUUCCCGAAGAGGGUCCUUACACCCCGAGCCGAAAGUACCCCGCUUCUCAGAGCUUCUCAGAGUGACCCUGGAGAUCCGGGAAUUAAACUCAUGAGUUUAUGAAAUAAGAAACAAAGACGAAGCUUCUGAUCAGCUGAGAUCUUGUCACGUAAAGAAGGCGCCGUGCGACCAGGGCAGGCUGUGCGGCGCGCACGGGGCCGGAGAAUACCCACCCGAGGGGCUGGACCUCAUUUGCCUCAGGAAACACCCACCUGAUCUGGGAAGAAAACCAGAGCAAAGGCCGUAUCAACGUUCAGGGUUCGUACGUAUGUUCUGUCUCAGAAUACAUCGCAAAUCCGAGAUAAUCGAAGGGGGCGAUCUGGCCCAGGCAGAACAGCAUCUGGUUCCUUAACGGCUCCGUGGGCAGCGCGCUCCCUCACGGGCCAGCCGCUUGGGCGUCCCAGCCGGCGGAGGGAUGAACCGAGCCUCGGUCAGACAGCGUGCCUGAAACAACGGACGUUUAUUUUUCACGCUUCUGGAGGCGGCAGGGCCACGAUCAGGGUGCCGCACGGUGGGGUUCUGGUGAGGCCUCCCCACCGGACUUGGAGACGGCCGCCUGCUCACUGUGUCCUCACGCGGCACAGAGAGAACCAGUCCCUUCCUCCUAUAUGGACAAUGAUCCCAUCCCGGGGCUCGCACUCAUGACCUCAUCUAAACCCAGAUACUUCCCCAAGCCCCCACCUCCAAAUCCCAUCUCGCGGGGGGUCAGGGCUCCAACAUGUGAAUUUCAGGAGGGGGACACAGUUCAGGUCGUAGCAGAGGGCAUGGCCCUGCUGUGUAAGGAUGCUUUCUGAAAGCUGCAUAUAUAAGACAGCUGCUUAAGAUUUGUUGGCCAAACUUUAGGCACAUGGCCACAAGACAGGAUGGGGAGUACAUCCAGCUAGGUUGAGGGCUUUCUAUUACAACGUGCUCAGAUAAGAGUUGGGAGUCAGACUUUUUCCACACGGCUGCUCCUUUGUCCUGAUCGUGACACCUCGUGGUCCAAAAUGGCUGUUGGGGGACAUCCAUCACCUCCGCAUUCCAGCCAAGAAGACAUUCCUUACUUAGUCACUAUGUUGUGUGGGGUUGUAGCCUUUUAUCCGCGUGCAAUGAAUCUAGCUAAAAGCUGGGGUUCUUGUCACUGAGGCAGAAGGAUGUGAAGGACGUUGGGGGUGAUUCUACGCCCCACCCUCGCGGUUGCCUCAAGGAUCUCAGAGCCUGACGUUUAAUGGCGCUGUCCUGUUCUGACAUAACCAGCUCAGAUUCCACCUCUGCUAAGUCUACACUGCAGGCUCCCCAAGUGCACGGGCCACAGCUUUCCUUCCCUUCAUCCCUCCUAGAAUUUGGCAGCCAGCAAGUACUAGGCAAUCAUUAGCUUAGCGUUUGUUUGCUGAGCUGAGGUCGAGCUGUACCAGGCGCGGAAUCGGGAAGCAGAGGAGGGGGGUUGUUUUCCGACCCCGAGUUAGCCUGCCCACCCACGCUAACGCCUGCCCCCAGCCUCCGGCCCUGCGUCUCCUCCAGUGUCAGAGUUCCCGAGGCCGGCUCCCCUUGGGACAGACUCUCCCCCCCGUACCCCUCUGUAAAGUUUCAGACCUCUUUCUAAUAAACCCCAGAUGGAGGGAGCGUUUUGCCCGGGAGCAAGAUUAUUCCCUGGCAUUCUUGAGACAUUUAACGGCCAAGGACUGUCCAGAGCUGGGAGAGGGCCAUAAAGGACAGACACCGGGCCUCAGGAGGUGACAAAAAGAAUGGGGAGCAGGGAGGGACCAUUGCCCUCAGCCAUUUGUCUGCAGCCAGAGGUUUCCAGAUGGCUCGGCCUGCUCCGUGGGCUCUCCCCUCCCUGUACCCCUGGGAUCAUCUCUCUGCAUGCGGACGGGGCGGGGUGGGGGGGGGGGUCACGCCUUUCUCUGCUCUGUGCUGGGCAGUGUGACUCACUGGGGCGAUGACGCGACUGUCCUGACCGUGGCAAAGUGGUACGAUUGUCCUCGCUCUCCACAGCCUUCAACCACUGGAGGUGCUUCAACGAUGCAGAUCCAGACGGACAUUGCUAGUGACACGUCACCUCUGAGCCCACAGGGCCCAUCCCUGAAAGGAGCCGUGAACACCAUCGUCGCCCUCGGCGCGGCAGCGGCCAAAUCCUGGGGGGAACGCCCCGCGGUUAUAAUAAGCUUUCUCACGAUGGGCC
Molecule: long non-coding RNA, 2594 nt
Organism: Lynx canadensis (Canada lynx)
Lineage: Eukaryota; Metazoa; Chordata; Mammalia; Carnivora; Felidae
Exons: 3
Source: RefSeq, a predicted model, not a curated record